Peromyscus californicus insignis is the source of this 2952-nucleotide long non-coding RNA. RefSeq lists it as uncharacterized. The record is from RefSeq and is a predicted model, not a curated record. NCBI's taxonomy places the organism in Eukaryota, Metazoa, Chordata, Mammalia, Rodentia, Cricetidae. The transcript is spliced from 3 exons.
AGUCUCUGCAGAUCAAUCUUCCCAGAGGCUGUAAAAAGGCCACCGUCACACAUACAUGAAUAACUGAGUAACUGUGCGCCGACUCAGAGAUCUCAACCUUGGGCUGGAAAGACUAUUCAGUAGACAAGGACACUUGCUGCCAAGUCUGAUGACCGGAGUUCAAUUCCUGGGACACACAUGAUGGAAGGAAAGAACUAAUUCCAGAGGCCCCCUGACCUCCACACUCACCAUGGCACAUAUUGCCCACUACACACACACACACACGCACACGCACACGCACACGCACACACAUACACACUCCUAAAAGAAAAAGAAAAGAAGAUCUUAAGCUUUGCAUAUCAUGUACAUCCCUCUCCUCAGGCUUGUUCUCUUUAGUUUAUACUGUCUACUAGCAUGUCCUCAAAUCAGUAUAACUUGUUGGAAUUGAAGAUGUAGUAUAUUUAAUUCUUCACUAAAAAUAUUAUGUGUAUAGGUGUUAUGCCUGUAUGUAUGUUUGUGCACUAUCUGUGUGCAGGACCUGAAAAGACCAGAAGAAGGCAUCAGAUCACCUGGAACUGGAGUUACAGAUGGUUGUGAGGAACGAUGUGGGUGCUCGGAGUCAAACCCAGCUGCUCUGUAAGAGCAGCCAGUGCUCUUAACUGCUGAGCCAUCACCCCAGGCCAAAGAUGUAGGACAUUUUAGGACAAAAACAAAACUGGAAACUAUGCUCAUUAUUGGUAUUUCUUACAAUAAAGGACAUGCCACUAGUAUGUAAUUCCAUUCUUCCUUAGGAGGCUAUUUCUAUUACAAAUACUCCUUACAGUCAAUAUGGCAGAUGGGUGCUUUGUGAAUUCUUACCACUUAUAGAAUGUAUAUAUUUAAGACUUCUAUGGAUCAUAGGAAGAAAACAUAUGGACAAAAAUGAAGAGAAAUCAAGGACAAAGAAGAUAGUUUGUCUUUCUUUAAUCAAAGUUAUGGAAGAAAUGAAAAAAAAAUCCUACAGAAUAAGGACAAGAUUAUAAGAAAAAUAUCUGGUAGUUUUCUACAUCUGAUAAAGGAUUUCAAUUCAAAAGCCCAAUGAAUCCUAAGGCAGAUACAUGAAAAUCAAUCCAUUUCAAAUUUCCACAUCACAGCGAAGCUUCAGAACUAAAGGGUCCUGGACUGGAUUAGAAGGAAGUUGAGCACAGGCAUUCAUUGCUCUCUCCCUCCUGACAGUGGAUGUGAACUCCUGCUCCUGCCACCACACCAUCCCUGCCGCCACAUCAUUCCUGCUGCCACACCAUCCCUGCCGCCUAGGACUGCUGUGGGAUGGUCUGUAUGUCAAAUGUGUUGCUGAUUGAUCAAUGAAUAAAUCACUGAUUGGCAGUGGCCAGGCAGGAAGUAUAGGCGGGACUAACAGAGAGGAGAAUUGAGAGAACAGGAAGCUGGGUGGGGGAGACACUACCAGCCGCCAUCAGGACAAGGAAGAUGUAAAGUACCGGUAAGCCUCAAGCCACGUGGCAAGGUAUAGAUUAAUAGAAAUGGAUUAAUUUAAGCUGUAAGAACAGUUAGCAAGAUGCCUGCCAUGGCCAUACAGUUUGUAACCAAUAUAAGUCUCUGUGUUUACUUGAUCAGGUUUGAGCGGCUUGGGACUGGUGGGUGAGAGAGAUUUGUCCUGAAUGUGGGCCAGGCAGGAAAACAUUAGCAACAAAUGGCGUCCAACGUGGUGGCAAGAGUUUCCACCUAAAAACUGAGAAAAAAGAUUCUAAAACAGAGCUAAAAACAGCUUCCUAAUUGUCUCUCUCAAAUGAGCGGCAGCUGCCGGUUUGAGCUACUAGUUUGAGCUACUGGCGGGUUCCUAUCGUGCGUGCAUGCUCGACCUGCAGUAUGGUGGGAAUGAGGCCUCUGCAAGUGGCACAUUAAGCUGUGUGGUGGAUUUAGCCUUUGCUAGUACAAAACAAAAAAAAAAAAAAAGAGGUUUCUGGGCUACACGCUGCUUGAUAGAAGCACAGACCCACUAUUUCUGAGAGUUGAUGGCUCCCAGAGCUGGCGGAAAACGUAGCACCACCAUGUUGGGAAGCUGAAGUGGGUGGAGCCAGCAGCCACAGCGCCAGCGCCGUUUCAGGCUUAGAAGGCUGCAGUUUAAAGCAAUAGGCUCAAGCUAAUAUAAAAAAAUAAGCCACGUAAAGAUGGCUACCACACAGAGAAUCUGGAUUAUGUUCUCUUUGAUAUUCGUAACUAAAGAAAAACAUUUGAUUACAAAAGCUGUUGAGUUAUGCCAAAAUGUAUAUUUUAAAGGUAACUUGACUUCAAAAUUUAGAUGUAAGGAUAUGUUGCUUUGGAAAGGAGGCUCUGCUUUUGUUUCCACAGAAAGCCAGAGGCUAUGGAUUUGUUCCAGAUUAAGACACAUCAGGUUUGACCAGCCAAGACCACCUGAAAGGUCUCUGAUGACACCAUGGCCCAGAUGAUCCAACAUCCAGAACCGUUUCAAGGCAACUGGCUCAGACGAUACACCCUCAUGGACUACUCCAUAACCCUAAAAUAUUCUUUGUGUCCCCAUAAGAUACAGCGCCCCCCUCCGGCAGGAAGUAGUAAGAGAAACUACGCCCAAAUUCCCAAAUAUACCAAGCUGACUUUGGAGAUGUGUAAAGGUUAAAACCUUCCUUUUUAAGAAAAGAAAAGGGGAAGUGCUGUGGGAUGGUCUGUAUGUCAAAUGUGUUGCUGAUUGGUCAAUGAAUAAAUCACUGAUUGGCAGUGGCCAGGCAGGAAGUAUAGGCGGGACUAACAGAGAGGAGAAUUGAGAGAACAGGAAGCUGGGUGGGGGAGACACUACCAGCCGCCAUCAGGAUAAGGAAGAUGUAAAGUACCAGUAAGCCACAAGCCACGUGGCAAGGUAUAGAUUAAUAGAAAUGGAUUAAUUUAAGCUGUAAGAACAGUUAGCAAGAAGCCUGCCACGGCCAUACAGUUUGUAACCAAUAUAAGUCUCUGUGUUUA